Helianthus annuus (common sunflower) is the source of this 308-nucleotide long non-coding RNA. RefSeq lists it as uncharacterized. The record is from RefSeq and is a predicted model, not a curated record. NCBI's taxonomy places the organism in Eukaryota, Viridiplantae, Streptophyta, Magnoliopsida, Asterales, Asteraceae. The transcript has 2 exons.
UUUCCUUGUUUUUCUUUUAUGGUGACAACAACAACAACACCACCACACACCUUACAAGGCCACUUUUUGACCACAAAUUCUACAAUACGUAUUUUGAUAACUUCACUGCUGAUCAUUUGCUUCAAAGAGUUCAGCCAAAAAUCAUAAGGAUUCACGAGUACUAUAACCAGAAACUCGGUGAAAACGGAUCUCGGAAUCUAGGCCUGACGAGGGAUACGCGGAAAUGUAUAAUAUUUAGUCGAAAAACUAAAAAUAUAGAAAUUGUUUUGCCAACAGAUUUUGAUGUGGGAUAUUAUUUGAUCAUGAGA